This 175-nucleotide ribosomal RNA is filed under the name Escherichia coli. RNAcentral's name for it is "partial 23S ribosomal RNA". It matches the Rfam family "Bacterial large subunit ribosomal RNA", at positions 2768 to 2925 of the family's 2925-position model. The record is from RNAcentral. Lineage: Bacteria; Pseudomonadati; Pseudomonadota; Gammaproteobacteria; Enterobacterales; Enterobacteriaceae.
GUGCUGAAAGCAUCUAAGCACGAAACUUGCCCCGAGAUGAGUUCUCCCUGACUCCCUGAGAGUCCUGAAGGAACGUUGAAGACGACGACGUUGAUAGGCCGGGUGUGUAAGCGCAGCGAUGCGUUGAGCUAACCGGUACUAAUGAACCGUGAGGCUUAACCUUACAACGCCGAAG